GAUGAACGCUGGCGGCGUGCCUAAUACAUGCAAGUCGAGCGAACGGACGAGAAGCUUGCUUCUCUGAUGUUAGCGGCGGACGGGUGAGUAACACGUGGAUAACCUACCUAUAAGACUGGGAUAACUUCGGGAAACCGGAGCUAAUACCGGAUAAUAUUUUGAACCGCAUGGUUCAAAAGUGAAAGACGGUCUUGCUGUCACUUAUAGAUGGAUCCGCGCUGCAUUAGCUAGUUGGUAAGGUAACGGCUUACCAAGGCAACGAUGCAUAGCCGACCUGAGAGGGUGAUCGGCCACACUGGAACUGAGACACGGUCCAGACUCCUACGGGAGGCAGCAGUAGGGAAUCUUCCGCAAUAGGCGAAAGCCUGACGGAGCAACGCCGCGUGAGUGAUGAAGGUCUUCGGAUCGUAAAACUCUGUUAUUAGGGAAGAACAUAUGUGUAAGUAACUGUGCACAUCUUGACGGUACCUAAUCAGAAAGCCACGGCUAACUACGUGCCAGCAGCCGCGGUAAUACGUAGGUGGCAAGCGUUAUCCGGAAAUUAUGGGCGUAAAGCGCGCGUAGGCGGUUUUUUAGUCUGAUGUGAAAACCCACGGCUCAACCGUGGAGGGUCAUUGGAAACUGGAAAACUUGAGUGCAGAAGAGGAAAGUGGAAUUCCAUGUGUAGCGGUGAAAUGCGCAGAGAUAUGGAGGAACACCAGUGGCGAAGGCGACUUUCUGGUCUGUAACUGACGCUGAUGUGCGAAAGCGUGGGGAUCAAACAGGAUUAGAUACCCUGGUAGUCCACGCCGUAAACGAUGAGUGCUAAGUGUUAGGGGGUUUCCGCCCCUUAGUGCUGCAGCUAACGCAUUAAGCACUCCGCCUGGGGAGUACGACCGCAAGGUUGAAACUCAAAGGAAUUGACGGGGACCCGCACAAGCGGUGGAGCAUGUGGUUUAAUUCGAAGCAACGCGAAGAACCUUACCAAAUCUUGACAUCCUUUGACAACUCUAGAGAUAGAGCCUUCCCCUUCGGGGGACAAAGUGACAGGUGGUGCAUGGUUGUCGUCAGCUCGUGUCGUGAGAUGUUGGGUUAAGUCCCGCAACGAGCGCAACCCUUAAGCUUAGUUGCCAUCAUUAAGUUGGGCACUCUAAGUUGACUGCCGGUGACAAACCGGAGGAAGGUGGGGAUGACGUCAAAUCAUCAUGCCCCUUAUGAUUUGGGCUACACACGUGCUACAAUGGACAAUACAAAGGGCAGCGAAACCGCGAGGUCAAGCAAAUCCCAUAAAGUUGUUCUCAGUUCGGAUUGUAGUCUGCAACUCGACUACACGAAGCUGGAAUCGCUAGUAAUCGUAGAUCAGCAUGCUACGGUGAAUACGUUCCCGGGUCU
This 1371-nucleotide ribosomal RNA is filed under the name uncultured bacterium. RNAcentral describes it as "bacterial SSU rRNA". It matches the Rfam family "Bacterial small subunit ribosomal RNA", at positions 28 to 1381 of the family's 1533-position model. The record is from RNAcentral.